UACUCUGAGUUUCAAGUUACAAGAGUGGUUUUUCCACUCACAGGCGCAGGGGGGGGCGAGACCACCAUUCAACUCAAAAAAAGUCAUAUAACCAUUCCAUUGAC
Molecule: long non-coding RNA, 104 nt
Organism: Sander lucioperca (pikeperch)
Lineage: Eukaryota; Metazoa; Chordata; Actinopteri; Perciformes; Percidae
Exons: 4
Source: RefSeq, a predicted model, not a curated record